GAAUUUCUGCCUUAUCAUUAAUUUCGCUUCCGAACGUAAUUUUAUUGAUUUGGCAUCUUCUGGAUUAUAUAUUAUUUUUAAUAUAUUUUUCCAGUAUUUUACUUUGAGAAAACUAGAGUGUUUCAAACAGGCUUUUGCCUUGAAUACUACAGCAUGGAAUAAUGAA
This 166-nucleotide ribosomal RNA is filed under the name Babesia annae. Its description in RNAcentral is "partial 18S ribosomal RNA". Lineage: Eukaryota; Apicomplexa; Aconoidasida; Piroplasmida; Babesiidae. The record is from RNAcentral.